GGCCGGGGUGUGGUUUGUCCCCGACAGGUGCACCGCUGGGGCCUGGCGUGUGCAGAGGUGAGGAGCUCACGAGGGCGCCACCCUCUCCAGGGAACCUUGUCCCACGUGAGGUCCCAGGAGGGAGUCACCAGAGAGCGAGCCUGCCUCCCGCUGGCCCCCGUCUCCUGCUUCCUCUCACGGGUGGGUCCUGCCGAGUGAGGCUGUCGCCACGCCGCUGUGGUCCCCCGGUGCAGCCUCCGGAACCCCCUUCUUCCCACACUCGCAGCUCCAGGUCUUUGGUUGCAGCCUCCCAGACGCACCAAGCCUGGAGGGCUACAGCAGAUCUUUCUAGCAAACGUGACGUGAGGGUGGGGAAGCCUGGCCCCGAGGGGAGGGCUCUGUGGCGGGGUGGGGGCCGGGCCCUCUCCCUGCUCCCGACAGCCCCUUCCAUCUCGGGCGCCCACAGGCGCUGCUCCCUGAUGAGUCCAUGUGUCUCCAUCCAGAGGCGCGCCCGCGCUGGAGCAGGAACCGUGUUUUCUGGAAGGCGGCCUGGGCCCGCGGCUGACGGCAGCUUCGUCUUGUGGUUUAUUCUUCCUGCCUCGCUUAUGAAAUCAAUGUAUCUCCUUAUGAUAAUAAGUAAUCAAAAUUCAAUGAGCACAGUACUGAACUCUCCCAAUAAAACGCAGCGUCUGCAUCAGCAGAAACGUCGGGCACGCACGCCGGCGUUUGUUCUCUGCUCCCCCGGGACCCCGCCGGCUGCCAAGCGCCAGCCACGCUGCGGGCGCCGUGGCCGCCCGGCCCGGGGUAGCCCAUCGCGGCGGCUCGCUGGCUGGUUUCAUUUUGAUGGCUUCGGCUUUUGCUGGGCAACCCCAUAAAGAAGUCUCUUAAAAUGCAUCUUUGAAAUUCUGGCGCUGUCGCCACCAAUAACAGCCGUGGAAGGGAAAUUUCAAUAAGAUAACUCAAGAACAUUUAAUUUUCUGCUCCUUUGGAUUUGCUAUCUUAUUACAGCCAUUCAGUUAGCUAAUAAAUGUCCAAUCCUGUCC
This 1022-nucleotide long non-coding RNA is filed under the name Oryctolagus cuniculus (rabbit). RNAcentral's name for it is "lncRNA (ENSOCUG00000032464.1)". Lineage: Eukaryota; Metazoa; Chordata; Mammalia; Lagomorpha; Leporidae. The record is from RNAcentral.